Molecule: non-coding RNA, 2360 nt
Organism: Anas platyrhynchos (mallard)
Lineage: Eukaryota; Metazoa; Chordata; Aves; Anseriformes; Anatidae
Source: RefSeq, a predicted model, not a curated record
CAAGCUUUCACCAGCAUCAGGACUGCAGAGCCUGGCUUUGUUCUGCUAUGCUCUUACAUCAGUGCAGGGGGCUGUGAUGCAGCCCUUUGUACACCUUCUUCAGAUGCAGGCAGAAGAGGAAGGAACAGAAAGAGUCAGGAAGCCCAAAGAUCUGAGCAGAGAUACGCAGCAAUCAGGAGGGGCAGAUCGCUCAGGAAGACCUGGAUUGCUCAGGAAGCUCAGCUGGCUCCAGCUUCACGUAUGAGGACGAGGAACCACAGCAGGACUGGGGAGCAGAGCCACCUUCCCUGGCCAAAACCACAGGGGCAAGAGGAACACGGGAUUCUAAUUCAGAACCGAAUAGACAUCCUCAGUGCAUGAGUGGAUGGGUGUUGAGACAGAGGGAUGGGAGACAGGUGAGCAGACAGACGCUGCUGAGCCAAGGCUGCAGCCCGAGAGGUUGCUCUCAGCAGUGGGAAGCAGCCCAGAGCCCUCCUGGGAUCCCUUUGGCACUAGGGGAGCCGGCUCAGAGAGCCCUGGGCAUGCUGCAAGUGGCCAGAGAUGUCCCUGGCACCCCAUGGCAGGGCAGAGCCCAGCGCCCACCCAUCCCAUGGAGGGGAUGCAGCUGGGGCAGGGCAGGACGGCAUCCCACCAGCAGAAUAAGAUGAUAUUUGUAAAGCAAAACCCUCGCCGGGAUGGGAACAGGCACCAAAACACAGGACACAGCUGGCCCCAGAGCACGGGGCCGAGCUGCUCACACCAUGCUCCUGCAGGGAAGGCGACCUCGUUGGCCACAGCGAGUCAAAACCAACAAAAAUGGGACAGAUCUGCCCCGGGGGGUCCUUAUCUAUGACUGAGGCAGCCUGGAAAGGUGCCGCCUGUUUCUGAGGGGCUACAUUUCUCCCCUCGGUCUCGAGGGGAAGAUCCUUGCAUGGCUGAUGUGCUGCAGACAGCAUCGCGGCGGCCUGGUCCAGCCUUCCUGGCUGGUCCUUCAUUAUUUCGCACUGGUGCUACAAUUUGCGCUGAUGCAAAGGAGCAGUGUAAAUCAGGCAUGAAGGAGGGAGGAUUACUGCUGCCGGAGCCUCUGACUGCCCCACGUUGGCAGGUUUAAUUGCUUUCACAGGGACCAGGCCAAGCCAGGCUUGAAUGCUGAGAACCGAGGCGUGCGAGCAGCCACACUGAUUAAAUUUCCCCCUGCUCUGGCCGUUGCCCUGCGGUGGCGGCUGUGAGCAGCCAGCCUGCCUCACCAGGGCUGACGUUUUCCUUCUCCCCCUCCAGUUUUAAGCAAGGAGCCCUUGGACAGCACAAGGACACUGGUCCAAGCUGCCCUUUCCAUCCUACCUGGUUCCCUUUUGCUCAGCAGGGCUUGCCUUGUGCAUCCCCCUCGUCCCUCACACCCCCAGCCUUCCCCUUCCCCUGCACUACACGUGCUGCCUGGGUCUUUCCCUCCCUUUCCUUAUCAAGAUAAAGCUGUCAUCGGCUUCCCCAUUCCACUGGUUUGUUGAGACUUUCAAAGCCCGAAACCGUAUUAAAUAUUCAGCCUGCUCCUUUGGGCUGCAUUUCAGAGCCUGCAUCCCUCCCUUUAAUUGCUCCGUCAAGACUAGAUGAAAGUUUGAUGCCGAGGCUUUGACUGGGACUAACUCAAACACUUUGGGCUCUGCUGAUUUAUUUAUUUAAAGAGAAAAAAAUAUCUGGAUUAUUCCGCUUAAAUUAGGCUCUGCAAUUGCUAAAGACCUCUUUCAUUGGCUCUCUCACUCAUUCAUGCUUCUUUCCAAAAAUGCACUCUCUUCCCUGCUAUUUUUGGCUAUUCUGAAAUAUGAGCAUGCUCCUUCCUGUAUCCCUUGCUCUCUGUCUCUCUUCUGACUGUCACCAAGUGCACGUCUCAAACACCUCUUCUGAAACAGCACGGUGCCCUGUACUCCCACGGGAAGGCAGAUGGAGACUUCCAUCCGAGGAGAGGGCUCCCUUGGGCAUCGCUCCACCAACAAGGCAGCCGAAAUCUGCAUCUGGAGAGAACUCGGCUGCCAGGGAAGACACAACCACAGCAGUCCCCUGCACAGCUUCAGAGGCUGGCUCUGAUUUAGAUGCUCCCAGCAGCAGCUUGUUAACCUGCACCCCUUAUACCUGGCCCUGGAGACGUGGCUGGGAGCUCAGCCCGUGGGGCGAGCUGGGACCUUCCCCUCCCUGUGCCUCCCCUGAGCAUCUUUGCUCUUGCUCUGAAUAAUUCCUGCACGGGCAGGCAGAGGCCAGCUCCCUCCUAUUGCAGGCUGCAGCUGGGAGGAGAUGGAUUUUUGUUUAUUUGGGGCUUUUUUUUCCUUUGCUUUGUUCCUAUCUGCCCCGAGCUGCAGCUCGGUGCUUUUUGCUGAGGUUUGGAGUCCGUG